This 253-nucleotide ribosomal RNA is filed under the name uncultured prokaryote. Its description in RNAcentral is "partial 16S ribosomal RNA". It matches the Rfam family "Bacterial small subunit ribosomal RNA", at positions 524 to 776 of the family's 1533-position model. The record is from RNAcentral.
UACGGGGGGGGCAAGCGUUGUUCGGAAUUACUGGGCGUAAAGGGCUCGUAGGUGGCCAACUAAGUCAGACGUGAAAUCCCUCGGCUUAACCGGGGAACUGCGCAUGAUACUGGAUGGCUUGAGUUUGGGAGAGGGAUGCGGAAUUCCAGGUGUAGCGGUGAAAUGCGCAGAUAUCAGGAGGAACACCGGUGGCGAAGGCGGGUCUCUGGGCCGAUACUGACGCUGAGGAGCGAAAGCGUGGGGAGCGAACAGG